RNAcentral lists this ribosomal RNA (254 nucleotides) under uncultured bacterium. RNAcentral's name for it is "partial 16S ribosomal RNA". It matches the Rfam family "Bacterial small subunit ribosomal RNA", at positions 524 to 776 of the family's 1533-position model. The record is from RNAcentral.
UACGUAGGGGGCAAGCGUUGUCCGGAUUUAUUGGGCGUAAAGAGCGUGUAGGCGGCUAGGUAGGUCCGUUGUGAAAACUCGAGGCUCAACCUCGAGACGCCGAUGGAAACCAUCUGGCUAGAGUCCGGAAGAGGAGAGUGGAAUUCCUGGUGUAGCGGUGAAAUGCGCAGAUAUCAGGAAGAACACCCGUGGCUAAGGCGGCUCUCUAGUACGGUACUGACGCUGAGGUGCGGAGAGCGUGGGGAGCGAACCGG